UACGUAGGGUGCGAGCGUUGUCCGGAAUUAUUGGGCGUAAAGCGUCUGUAGGUGGCUUUUUAAGUCCGCCGUCAAAUCCCAGGGCUCAACUCUGGACAGGCGGUGGAAACUACCAAGCUGGAGUACGGUAGGGGCAGAGGGAAUUUCCGGUGGAGCGGUGAAAUGCGUAGAGAUCGGGAGGAACACCAGUGGCGAAGGCGGCCUUCUGGACCAAUACUGACGCUCAUGCACGAAAGCGUGGGGAGCAAACAGG
Molecule: ribosomal RNA, 253 nt
Filed under: uncultured bacterium
Lineage: Bacteria
Description: partial 16S ribosomal RNA
Rfam family: Bacterial small subunit ribosomal RNA
Source: RNAcentral